Molecule: ribosomal RNA, 331 nt
Filed under: uncultured bacterium
Lineage: Bacteria
Description: bacterial SSU rRNA
Rfam family: Bacterial small subunit ribosomal RNA
Source: RNAcentral
CGCGUAGGCGGCGGACCUUGUCGAGUGUGAAAGCCCCCGGGCUCAACCUGGGAGGUGCGCUCGAGACGGGUUUGCUGGAGUUCGGGAGAGGAGAGUGGAAUUCCCAGUGUAGAGGUGAAAUUCGUAGAUAUUGGGAAGAACACCGGUGGCGAAGGCGGCUCUCUGGACCGAGACUGACGCUGAGGCGCGAAAGCGUGGGGAGCAAACAGGAUUAGAUACCCUGGUAGUCCACGCUGUAAACGAUGUGUGCUAGACGUUGGGGAGCGUAGCUCUUCGGUGUCGCCGCAAACGCUUUAAGCACACCGCCUGGGGAGUACGGCCGCAAGGUUAA